RNAcentral lists this long non-coding RNA (2525 nucleotides) under Canis lupus familiaris (dog). RNAcentral's name for it is "lncRNA (ENSCAFG00845016888.1)". Lineage: Eukaryota; Metazoa; Chordata; Mammalia; Carnivora; Canidae. The record is from RNAcentral.
UUCUUCCCAUUCGGAUGAAGUCUCUAAAACUAACAAUAAGAGCAGGAGUUUUUACAUACAACCAAUGUGUGACUUAAUAAGGCGUAUGUAUUUCUUCAAGCUUUUAUUGCAUAUAUCUGAUGAGUCCCUUCAGUUGUAAAGGAGACCCCACCAAGACUCUGGGCAUCAAACAACUGUCAUAAAUUUUUACAGUAGAACAAACCCACUGAGUCUAACUACGCCUCUCCAGCUGUAACCGGCAAGGUGUUUUUGUUUCUGAUCAUGAAAUGGGAAGUUAUAAAGAUAUAGAAGGAAUGUGGGUUAUGUUCAUUCUCUUUUGUGUGUCUCCCGCAGUUUCUGUCCCAGGCCAGCAGUGAUGGAUUUGCUUUGUUUCAGAGCCCACAGUCCACUUGCAAAACAUGUUCUGUAUCUGGUUUUGCAGCUGUUCAAAGAAUUGUAAACACAGAUUUGGAUGCUUUGGAAAACGGACCCAAACGAAAAAGGGAGGAUACUAUAUAGACCCUGUUCUUCGUAAUAAUACUGUUGCAAGGGAUCAAAAGUGCUUUCGAAUACAAUUUAUUGCUGUUGUUUUUGCUAAAUCAAAUAAAUGCUUUAAGCAAAAACAGGUUUCAAGCCUUCUGCUUAUAAUUGCACUUCAUGUGACUUGACAAUGCUGAUUUCUGUGUAAUUUUUUAAAUCCAUGUUUGGUAAAAAGAAGGAGCUUUUCUACUAGGUCUUCAAAGUUCUAAUAAAAUCAGCUUGCUGGUGCACAUGCUUACUUACAGACACAGUGCAAAUUUAGUCAGAGAAAAGCUCAGCAAAGUCACUCCACUACACCCAGUUGAUCUGAGCUAAACCUGCAAGGGUGAUGGUGCAACUCUUUCAGGAUUUGAAUGUAUUUAAAUCAUGGCCUGAGUUAAAUGUAUACGUACUAAAAAGAAAGUUAAAAACAGAAUGCAUGGAUCAUUAUCCUCAUAACCUUCCAGUGGCAGCCCAUGGACUGCUGUUUCUUGAGUUAGAUUGACAAAAACUGGAAGGAAAGCAUGAGCAAAGGGGAUCUUGAGUACCAUCAGCUGAAAUUUACCUAAAUCCCCACAGCCAAAUACAAUCUGGAAGAAAUAAGAGGUUCACCUUUUGGUCCUGGUCAGUGAUAACUUGCGGGUUGGCUUGAGCAAUAUCCAUCCCUCUACUUGCUAAGUUCCCUAAAAUGCGAUUCUAAAAAAUAAUGUUAAGUAUUCAGGCCAGAGAUAUUUAUCAGAAGGAUAGGAUUUAAAUGGAUAUAUACCUCAUGGCAGGACUUACAGAAAAAUAUAGGUACAAAUAUGCAUAAGUCAUAUUUAGAUACUUUCUAUAAAAUUAGACUGGCAUUAAUUAAAUGGCAGAAAAGGCAAUGAGAGCAUUGUUUGGAAGGUAGCUUGUUCCAAGUUCUGAUUAUAACUUGCUUCCCAAAGAAGGAGCCGCCCACAGCUUAGAAGACAGAUGAGAAGAUCAUCAUCACAGAUUUGCUGUGAACAGCUCUGCUCAGCUCUGUCCCUGCCAGACUUGGGGCCACACACACCCUUCUAAGAUGGCUAGAGAAGAUUCACAAAGAGCACCGCUUCAUGCUCCAGCUUUGGCAACAGCAGAGGAUGAUUUUGUCUCUGGGUAGCUUAAAAUCUUCCUGGAGUGCUGAGAACUGCCCUCAGUAGCAAAGUUAUCACCAUCGUCAUUGCACCUAAUGUUUACUGAGCAUUUACUGUGUGCCAGGCACAAAUUGCUUUGCAUCUUGUCUUAUCUUCAUAGUAAUCCCAUGAGUGAGUACUUAGAAUUACACAAAUUUCAUGGAAAAAGAAACUGAGGCCAAAAUUUGCCUGUGGUUACAAAAAUGGUGAGUGCCAGCGUUGGGACUCGAGUUCAGACAACUUCACUCUUCUAUAAUCUUCAUUUCUUGUAACCAUUAGAGUAGCUUAAUUAGCGGCAGACAACCCAUGGAUUAGGCAUUUUAAAAUGCCACCCCACUUACAAAUCUUUUCCUAUUUAUUCAUUAAUCCUUUGUUUACCCCUUGAAGAGUACUAGGAACUGCCUAAAGCACUGGGAAUCCAGCAGUGAACAAGACAAACUCUCUACCUGUGUGGAGCUUACAUUCUGUAUUCCACACACAUAGCUUCAUUUAUUCCUCAAAAUAACCAUCUAAGUCUGGGGCCAUUAGUGUCACCCACUUUUUAGGUAGAGAGCCAGAGCUCAGAGAGUUGGAGUAACUCAGCCAAGGCCACACAGCUGGUAAAUGGGAGAACUGGGGCUUGUCCUUUGACCUUCAGACUAUCGAUCCUACAUCCGGUGAUGCCCCUGUUAUUCAAGUAUUAUGAUUUUGAGGCGGCUUUCAUAGUUGGGCAGGAUGUUUGUUAGUACUGCAGGGAAGGAAAAUGAGACCAAGCUAACCCUUUGCCUUCUAGUUUCCUAAUUUCCUCCUCUUUCCCCAAUUUCUUGGUUCUUACUUCUGUUAUGCUUCAGGUACUCACUGUUUACUGGUGGUCCAUAGUCUCCACUUCUGUGCCCCCCCUCCCCA